AGUGAACGCUGGCGGUAGGCCUAACACAUGCAAGUCGAACGGCAGCACAGUAAGAGCUUGCUCUUACGGGUGGCGAGUGGCGGACGGGUGAGGAAUACAUCGGAAUCUACUUUUUCGUGGGGGAUAACGUAGGGAAACUUACGCUAAACCGCAUACGACCUACGGGUGAAAGCAGGGGAUCUUCGGACCUUGCGCGAUUGAAUGAGCCGAUGUCGGAUUAGCUAGUUGGCGGGGUAAAGGCCCACCAAGGCGACGAUCCGUAGCUGGUCUGAGAGGAUGAUCAGCCACACUGGAACUGAGACACGGUCCAGACUCCUACGGGAGGCAGCAGUGGGGAAUAUUGGACAAUGGGCGCAAGCCUGAUCCAGCCAUACCGCGUGGGUGAAGAAGGCCUUCGGGUUGUAAAGCCCUUUUGUUGGGAAAGAAAAGCAGCAGGUUAAUACCCCGCUGUUCUGACGGUACCCAAAGAAUAAGCACCGGCUAACUUCGUG
Molecule: ribosomal RNA, 491 nt
Filed under: uncultured bacterium
Lineage: Bacteria
Description: partial 16S ribosomal RNA
Rfam family: Bacterial small subunit ribosomal RNA
Source: RNAcentral